CCUACGGGUGGCAGCAGUGGGGAAUAUUGCGCAAUGGGCGAAAGCCUGACGCAGCGACGCCGCGUGAGGGAUGAAGGUCUUCGGAUCGUAAACCUCUGUCAGCAGGGAAGAACGGUCACUGUGCUAAUCAGCAGCGAAUUGACGGUACCUGCAAAGGAAGCACCGGCUAACUCCGUGCCAGCAGCCGCGGUAAUACGGAGGGUGCGAGCGUUAAUCGGAAUUACUGGGCGUAAAGCGCUCGUAGGCGGUAUGUUAAGUCAAGGGUGAAAUCCCCGGGCUCAACGUGGGGACUGCUUUUGAAACUAGCAAACUAGAGUGUGAGAGAGGAUAGUGGAAUUCCAGGUGUAGGAGUGAAAUGCGUAGAUAUAUGGAGGAACAGCAGAGGCGAAGGCGACUAUCUGGCACAUAACUGACGCUGAGGAGCGAAAGCGUGGGUAGCAAACAGGAUUAGAUACCCUUGUAGUC
Molecule: ribosomal RNA, 465 nt
Filed under: uncultured bacterium
Lineage: Bacteria
Description: partial 16S ribosomal RNA
Rfam family: Bacterial small subunit ribosomal RNA
Source: RNAcentral